CCUACGGGAGGCAGCAGUGAGGAAUAUUGGUCAAUGGCCGCAGGGCUGAACCAGCCAAGUCGCGUGAAGGAUGACGGCCCUAUGGGUUGUAAACUUCUUUUGUACGGGAGUAAAGGGCGCUACGUGUAGCGUUUUGCAAGUACCUGAAGAAUAAGGAUCGGCUAACUCCGUGCCAGCAGCCGCGGUAAUACGGAGGAUGCGAGCGUUAUCCGGAUUUAUUGGGUUUAAAGGGUGCGUAGGCGGACUGUUAAGUCAGCGGUGAAAUUUUGAGGCUCAACCUUGGAAUUGCAGUUGAUACUGGCGUGCUUGAGAGAAGUAGAGGUAGGCGGAAUGCGUGGUGUAGCGGUGAAAUGCUUAGAUAUCACGCAGAACUCCGAUUGCGAAGGCAGCAUACCGGGCUUCAACUGACGCUGAUGCACGAAAGCGUGGGUAUCAAACAGGAUUAGAUACCCCUGUAGUC
This 460-nucleotide ribosomal RNA is filed under the name uncultured bacterium. Its description in RNAcentral is "partial 16S ribosomal RNA". It matches the Rfam family "Bacterial small subunit ribosomal RNA", at positions 338 to 795 of the family's 1533-position model. The record is from RNAcentral.